RNAcentral lists this ribosomal RNA (301 nucleotides) under uncultured bacterium. RNAcentral's name for it is "partial 16S ribosomal RNA". It matches the Rfam family "Bacterial small subunit ribosomal RNA", at positions 509 to 807 of the family's 1533-position model. The record is from RNAcentral.
CAGUAGCCACGGGAAAACGAAGGGGGCUAGCGUUGCUCGGAAUGACUGGGCGUAAAGGGCGCGUAGGCGGAUUGUUUAGUUAGGCGUGAAAUUCCUGGGCUUAACCUGGGGACUGCGCUUAAUACAGGCAGUCUAGAGUGAGGAAGAGGGUUGUGGAAUUCCCAGUGUAGAGGUGAAAUUCGUAGAUAUUCGGAAGAACACCAGUGGCGAAGGCGGCUCACUGGCUCAUACUGGACGCUGAGGUGCGAAAGCGUGGGGAGCAAACAGGAUUAGAGACCCCAGUAGUCCCUGUCUCUUAUAC